This 328-nucleotide ribosomal RNA is filed under the name uncultured eukaryote. RNAcentral describes it as "partial 18S ribosomal RNA". It matches the Rfam family "Eukaryotic small subunit ribosomal RNA", at positions 1470 to 1796 of the family's 1831-position model. The record is from RNAcentral.
CCCUUAGAUGUCCGGGGCUGCACGCGCGCUACACUGAAGGAAUCAGCGUGCUAAAACCAUUGUCGAAAGGCAUUGGUAAACCCAUUAAAAUCCUACGUGAUUGGGAUCGUGAAUUGCAAUUAUUUCCCUUGAACGAGGAAUUCCCAGUAAGUGUGGGUCAUAAGCUCGCGUUGAUUACGUCCCUGCCCUUUGUACACACCGCCCGUCGCUGCCCGGGACUGAGCCGUUUCGAGAAAAGCGGGGACUGCUGCUGUCGGGGCUUUCGGGCCUUGGCUUCGGUGGAAACCGCUUUAAUCGCAGUGGCUUGAACCGGGCAAAAGUCGUAACA